This 468-nucleotide ribosomal RNA is filed under the name uncultured Bacteroidota bacterium. Its description in RNAcentral is "bacterial SSU rRNA". It matches the Rfam family "Bacterial small subunit ribosomal RNA", at positions 39 to 496 of the family's 1533-position model. The record is from RNAcentral. Lineage: Bacteria; Pseudomonadati; Bacteroidota.
GCGGCAGGCCUAACACAUGCAAGUCGAGGGGCAGCACAAAGAUAGUUUACUAUUUUGGUGGCGACCGGCGCACGGGUGAGUAACGCGUAUGCAACCUACCUUAUACAGGAGUAUAGCCCGAAGAAAUUCGGAUUAAUCCUCCAUAGUAUUUUCUAAUGGCAUCAUUUGGGAAAUUAAAGCUUCGGCGGUAUAAGAUGGGCAUGCGUCCUAUUAGCUAGAUGGUAAGGUAAUGGCUUACCAUGGCAACGAUAGGUAGGGGGCCUGAGAGGGUGAUCCCCCACACUGGUACUGAGACACGGACCAGACUCCUACGGGAGGCAGCAGUGAGGAAUAUUGGGCAAUGGAGGCAACUCUGACCCAGCCAUGCCGCGUGCAGGAAGAAUGCCCUAUGGGUUGUAAACUGCUUUUAUUUAGGAAUAAACCCUUCUACGUGUAGAAGGCUGAAUGUACUAAACGAAUAAGCACCGG